AGCAGUAGCCGCGGGAAUACGGAGGGUGCGAGCGUUAAUCGGAAUUACUGGGCGUAAAGCGUACGCAGGCGGUUUGUUAAGUCAGAUGUGAAAUCCCCGAGCUUAACUCGGGAACUGCAUUUGAAACUGGCAGGCUAGAGUCUCGUAGAGGGGGGUAGAAUUCCAGGUGUAGCGGUGAAAUGCGUAGAGAUCUGGAGGAAUACCGGUGGCGAAGGCGGCCCCCUGGACGAAGACUGACGCUCAGGUACGAAAGCGUGGGGAGCAAACAGGAUUAGAUACCCCGGUAGUCCCUGUCUCUUAUAC
RNAcentral lists this ribosomal RNA (303 nucleotides) under uncultured bacterium. RNAcentral describes it as "partial 16S ribosomal RNA". It matches the Rfam family "Bacterial small subunit ribosomal RNA", at positions 507 to 807 of the family's 1533-position model. The record is from RNAcentral.